Long non-coding RNA from Sapajus apella (tufted capuchin), 1956 nucleotides. RefSeq lists it as uncharacterized. The record is from RefSeq and is a predicted model, not a curated record. The transcript is spliced from 3 exons. NCBI's taxonomy places the organism in Eukaryota, Metazoa, Chordata, Mammalia, Primates, Cebidae.
ACGUGAUCAAGUCUGGCGAGUCACGUGACGAGGAACUAGCAAUAACCAGGCCUUGGGGGAAAAAUUCUAACUGGUGGAGCUCCUGGUAACUGGCGCGAUGGGGUCUUAAGAUCGGAGGAUUGGAACCAUCUGAUUUUUACCUCUGAUACUUUAGUCUCGGGUUCUCUCCUGUGUUGGGAAAAUGAGUCCCCUCUCACCAUGUCCGGCUGGCGGCGACCCAGAUGCCAUGUGAUGGUCAUUUGAAGACAAGCCUGGCGGACAUCAGGUAGUGACCCCAUCACUGUGGCCAUUGUCACGUCUUCCUUGGUGGUGGGUGGGGGCAUCCGCAUUGUGCAUGGGGCAUUAGGGACCCAGGCAUACCAGUCCAGCUGGAGGAAGGAACUGUAACACUAGAACCCUGGUACUUAGGGUUUGAACUCCCGUCUCUCCCUCAGGCCUCCCAGGCACCAGACACUUGCCCUCAGGGACCUGUGCUUUCAGCUGUCCAUACCUGGCCCUGGUUGAUGGCUGCAUGCUGAGCAGUGCACGUGAAGAUGCACAUGGAACAUGUGAGGACAUCUGGAAAUUAUUGAGGCCAGGAUUCAGGACUGAGACCCCAGCAAUCCAAAGCAAGAGGCUGCACAGGCCACUGUUAGGACAUCUGCAGACUUUACCGUCAUGUGCAUCCACCAGCAAGUCAGCCGUCUGCCUGAGGAUGGCAUUACUGUGGUGAGUGCAGACAGCGGGAGGGCUGAACCAGGAAGGGGAACUGGGUGAAUAGAGGCUUCAGUUGUUUAAGUGGAGCAGAGGAUGGGGACACAGGAGGCAGCUUGAGAUGAAUUAAAUCCAAGAUGCCAUUAAUCGGGCUGGUCUCCAUCUUGUCUCUGUUACCAAAGGGGUCACUCCAGAGGUGGCACAGCUAUACUGGCCAGGCCUGGGGCAUCUGGGUGGAGGCCCCCAACUGAAACACAAUUCAGUUGUUUUUACCCAGGACUCACUUGCGUAUCUUACCAAUACAUCAAACUCCAUGUACCUAAAAUAAAACACCUCAUUUUUGCUGACUCUGGCUUGUUCUAACUUUACUGUUUCUGACAAUUACUCUGGUUUGUAAGCCUGUAUCAUGUUUGUGCCCCCUCGGCCAAGUUCCUUAUAUGUAAAGUAUCAUCAAGAUUUUGAGAACAUUUUUCUAAAGCAAACACAGGUCUUAUUUUGCCUUCUCCCUGGCAAUAUAUACUGAACUCCCUGUUUAAAAAUUACAGUAUUUAUUAAUUUUUUUUUUUUUUAAUCUAGAGACUGGGACUUGCUAUAUUGCCUACUCUGGUCUUGAACUUCUGGUCUUAAGCGAUCAUACUGCUUUGGCCACCCAAAGCACUGGGAUUACAGGUGUGAGCCACCACACCCAGCUCUGAAAACCACAGUAUUUUUAGGUUAGUACAGCACACCACCCCGUGGACUUACAGGUGUGGCAGAAGCUUGUACUGAUGGCUUUUCUCUGUCUUGUACCCAGGCACGCUGUGGCUACUGUUUCCUCUAGUAUGUUUUAGGUUUUUUCCUUUUCGUUCCUGUCAUUACCAUGCUAGCGUACAUCUCUAUCCACCUUACUGUUGGGCAGGUAUGAGUGGCUUGCUGGCUGCUCUUCCUUGCCUUUUGAUCUGUUCUUACUUAGCUGACUCCUCAGUUCGGGUAAAACAUUCUUCAUGAGUACUAGACUGUUCCAGGCUGUCUCAUGUGAUUUCAAACUCUAGUACCAGAUACUGUUCUCUGGUUGGCUUUUAUGGGCUAAAUACGAGAUCUGUUUUUCUGGUUAAAUACUAAAUCUAAGGUAGGAAUGCGGCCUGGGUUUUACUAAUAGUGUUCAAUCGCUACUGUGAGCACACUGCUAGACUGUCGGAUCUCAGAAUUUCAGAGGGUUCGUGUAGAAUGUUAAGUGACUAAACUUAAUUAAACUUAAUUAAAAUCAAUAUCUCAAGAUAUUGA